GACGAACGCUGGCGGCGUGCUUAACACAUGCAAGUCGAGCGGUAAGGCCUUUACGGGGUACACGAGCGGCGAACGGGUGAGUAACACGUGGGUGACCUGCCCUCCACUUCGGGAUAAGCCUGGGAAACUGGGUCUAAUACGGGGAUGGGACCAUUCCAUGCAUGUGGGGUGGUGGAAAGUCGGUGCUGUUGUGGUGCUGGGCGGUGGGGGAUGGGCCCGCGGUCUAUCAGCUUGUGGUGGGUGAUGGCUUACCAAGGCGACGACGGAUAGCCGGCCUGGGAGGGUGAUCGGCC
RNAcentral lists this ribosomal RNA (293 nucleotides) under uncultured bacterium. RNAcentral describes it as "partial 16S ribosomal RNA". It matches the Rfam family "Bacterial small subunit ribosomal RNA", at positions 28 to 309 of the family's 1533-position model. The record is from RNAcentral.